CCAAUGCCCCCCACAGUUCACCUGGUCCUCACACAAGCCCUGCCCCACAGAGGCAGACACCCUUGCCUGCCUGUAGAGGAUCAAGGCAUUCAGUCAAUGCAGGCUGAAAAGUAGCCUGAGGGCUUGCUGUUAGGUGGGGCCAGUCGCUAGGGCGGGUUGCCUGCCCUGGCUGAACUGGAUUAAAUCUGUGCUCUAGUGGGUGUGGCAGACCCCUGGGCUAACAGCCCAAGGGAGGCACCUCAAUGGCCCCCACCAGUGUCCGUAUCAGCACGCCUGGACCAGCUCAGAACAACGGCCCCCACCAAUGUCUCAGUCUCCGGAGACGACCCUCCUCUCACCAAGAUGCCCCCAGAGCCCACCAGGGAACUUCAGCACAUCUUGAUGUGAGAUGGUGGAAGCUUGGAUACUGUAUAAACCUUUUCAGAUCUGCCAAUCAGCCUGAAGAAUUCAAAGGAAUGAGAGAGACUGAACUAGAAGCCAAAGCUCUUGGCAUGAGGAGUGUGAUGAAUUGGGACAGCACUGAUGCCAGAAGUUGCUGGCACAAGCAGGUGCACCUGAUAGAUGAAGGAAAACCACAAAGGGUGGGAAGGGCUCUGUAGACUGUGAUAUGGGGACCUGGUGUCUUUACUUUCAUUCUAAUUCAAUCUCCUUCAACCCAGGAGUCCCUUGUGUGCUACUUUUCACAGGAAGUCUUUCAACUUUCAUUUGAUCAUUUCUAAGAUUGUUGUUCACUAGUGUUUGAUCAAGUCUGUUCUUUUGUUGCUAGUCCUUAACUGGAUACUACUGCUCUUGUGAAAAUCUUAGGUCAUUGGUUUCAAUUCCCCAGGAAGUUAUCUUUCACAUGAUAAGCAUUUGUGCACUUGUAGAUGACUUUGGGGGCCCAUCCAACCCUCAAUCUCAACUUCUUUCUCCCUGGCUUGUAUCUACCAUCAAGGCCGAAAAGGUUAACCUCUUGUUUUUCCAGUCUCAUUUGAAGUUAGGAAUGUCCUUCAACACAGCUCUUGCCAAUGAGUUGUAUGUGAAAGUUUAUGAUAUCUGGAAAUCAUAAAGAAGGGCCAAGAUACGAAAACAUUGACCAUGAAGACCUUGACUACUGAACCAAUGCAGACAACUACCUAUUUCCAGACUUUUUGAUAUGAAAAAAAGCCUUUCUUUGCUUAAACCGCUGUGUCAAGGUUUCCUGUUACCUAUAGGCAAACACAAUGGUCACUGAUGGAGUUUCACGUUUCAUACCCUAAGACUUCCUUUUGCAUUGUGGAUACUACCAAAUCCUGCCCCUCUUCCCUGAUAGACCCUACUGCUUUCCUGCUUCUGUGAAAACAUCCUUUUCUCUUGCUUAAAGGCUUUUCCCUCCUGGCCAAAGUCUACUCAUCCUUCACAUCUUUCUUUGAUGCAGAUCCAAAGCCAGAAAAAUCUUAUUUUUUACACUGAACUCCCUCUGGCUUUCUGAAGUGCCUCUGUCAUGCUUCUUUUUCAAUUCUGUCAUGAAGCCUAGUCAUUUGUAUAUUUCUCUUAUCCGUAUUCACUACCCUGAUGAGAUGGAAGCUGUUUUAAGGGUGAUUUCUACACUUUUCUCUGCACUCUCAUAUCUCUUAUCAUACAACCUUGCUAAUAGAAAGCACUACUUGUUUGAUUUUAAUUCAAUAAAUGUUUAUCAUUUCAUUUCCUUUUUGAUAGCUUCAGUUUUGAUUAAAGUGUAUGCUGACAUUUUAAGGAAGAGUUUAGUUUUUCAGGAAAGGCAACAUCAGCUUAGUUGAGUGAAUGUCUUUGGGAUGUUAAGCCCUGAAGAAAGACUACCUAUUGGCUUGCUCGAAUGUCAC
This 1820-nucleotide long non-coding RNA is filed under the name Equus caballus (horse). RNAcentral describes it as "lncRNA (ENSECAG00000046114.1)". The record is from RNAcentral. Lineage: Eukaryota; Metazoa; Chordata; Mammalia; Perissodactyla; Equidae.